UACGUAGGGUGCGAGCGUUGUCCGGAAUUAUUGGGCGUAAAGGGCUCGUAGGCGGUUUGUCGCGUCGGGAGUGAAAUCCACUGGCUUAACUGGUGGCUUGCUUUCGAUACGGGCAGACUGGAGGUAUGCAGGGGAGAACGGAAUUCCUGGUGUAGCGGUGAAAUGCGUAGAUAUCGUGAGGAACACCAGAGGCGAAGGCGGCUACCUGGACAAUUGCUGACGCUCAGGCACGAAAGCGUGGGGAGCGAACAGG
This 253-nucleotide ribosomal RNA is filed under the name uncultured bacterium. Its description in RNAcentral is "partial 16S ribosomal RNA". It matches the Rfam family "Bacterial small subunit ribosomal RNA", at positions 524 to 776 of the family's 1533-position model. The record is from RNAcentral.